RNAcentral lists this long non-coding RNA (748 nucleotides) under Ananas comosus (pineapple). Its description in RNAcentral is "long non-coding RNA (ACOM_LNC020331)". Lineage: Eukaryota; Viridiplantae; Streptophyta; Magnoliopsida; Poales; Bromeliaceae. The record is from RNAcentral.
AUGUUCCUCACCGGUGUUAAAUAUAAAAAUGUUUAUUAGAGUACAACGGUUGUUUCACAUGAUAUUAGAGCAGGAGGACCUGAUCAGUUCGAGUCACGCCAGGCUCCUAACAUAUUAAUUUCCUCCUAUUUAAUUCAAGUCCACGUUAUGGGCCGACUAAAAAGUCUCGAGUCCAGACGUGAGGCGAAAUGUUAAAUAUAAAAAUGUUAAACAACGUUCUCUAACGGCUUAAGUUUUUGGAGUAUAACGGUUGUUUCACAACCGGACCACCGCAUCCUUAUCGGCGAACGCAUCUCCACACCGCAUGCCUCGAUCUGUGCAGAUUUUCUUUCAAGCAUCGCUAUUGUUCAAUGAUCCUGUUCUGUCAAACUUCAACCCAAACUAGCGAUGGAAACCUUGGGCUUCGGCUCGUGCGUGAGGACCUCGAUCGAGAUCAUUUUUCAGGAAUCGAACCCGACCGCAUCAUUUCCUCACCAGUCCGUACUUGAGAUAUAGUUAGAUCUGGCCUCUAUAAAGAGGAACACUAUAAGAUGGGUGAACCAUAUCAUGCCACAUGACCAAUGAUCGACGCAUUAAACCUGAUCUAUGGCUUGUGAACUUUAUAGAAGCCAAAUUUCAUAUUUUCAGUAUUAUUUAGCGACAAUUUAAGUGGUUUCAAAAUUCAAAAUUUUCGACCAAUCGUCGAUUCGAAUACCCCAUUGUCGAGAACAACAUGAAUAACACUAUAAUUUGGAACAAAACAAGAGGA